ACGGGGAAGGGGUAAACCUAAUCCUCCUCUUCUCCGGCGAGCCAGAGGGGCGAGAGCGGCGGCGGGGUCGUAGGCGGCGGUGUGUGGCGAUCCGGCGAAGGGAAUCUCGCACGGCGGCGCGGCUGCUGAGGGGGAACACCCUAAUCCCCUUCUCUCCCCGACCCCUCUCCCGGCGACGCGAGUGAGUGGCUGGCGGCAAGCGCCGAGCGGCUCCAGCUUCACUGGCUGGGGGGCGCACCCGAAGACGGCGCCAAGCCAUCGGCGGUCCGGCAAAGCACCGAGCCGACGGGGGAGGGGGGGAGGUGCCAAAAGUGGCAGCCCAAGCCGAUGCUUCCCGUCUCCGGUGAGGCGGCGACGGUGGGGAAGCUCCAAGACGGCGCGAGCGGUGGUGAACCGGCGCGACCCCGAGGACGCCGGAGAGCUUCAAGUCUGGUAAGUUUCAGAAACCCGAAGCUCAAAUUUCUUGAUUCGGGUUUUGGGGCUUAUUAGGGUUCUCCAGCCGAAUUAGGGUUCUUCAAUUUGGGAAUUUAUUCGAAUUAGGGUUUCUGAGGUGUGGAUUUUUGGAAUUUCAAUCUUGUUUAUCCCAAUCUCCUUUUUUCUGAGUUGAACAGAUUGGGGAAAAUUUUGGAAAGUUCAAUCUAGUAUUUUGUUGGGGGGUGGGGGGUUGGGGCAUACCACCUAGUACUAGGUAGGAACUGUAACAUAUGUUUCAGCCUGGUUUGCCAGACAGAACAACAAAAACUUAUAUUAGGAAAUCAAUAGUUGUAGUGUACAAAAAAAAAGUUAUAACUCAAGUUGCAUUGCACAAAUUUAUAAUUGAAGUUGCACAUGAUUUUAAAAUGGCAACUACAACAAUUAGGGAAUGCAACUUUGCUAUAUAUGAGGCAACUAUUAGUCCCAUACUUUAAAAAUCACAAAAUAAUAAGGAUUGCUUUUGGGCUGCAGGGUGCAAAUAGCUGAAACGCACAAGAAAGAAUCCCAUUUGUUGGAAUGGAUUAGGUAAUGUGAAAAACUAAGAAAAACCCGAUCACCGCUACACAAAUAGAAAAACAAAGAUGUGUGUUUUUAUUAUGCUAGCUCUAGAUUUUCAAUGUUUACAUCACAAGCAAUCCCGUACUGAGCCAAUACUGCAACUAACAUAUAAAUGCACUUAAUCGAAAAGAAAAACAUGUUCUCUGAACCGCACAGAAUUCAACGCAUACUGAGGGUUAGAUCGCAUACACAGAAUCACAGAUACACAUGGACUUUCCUUAUCAAUUUGUCUAGUCCUAGCAUUUUUUUCAGGCACACGGCCUAGUAACACUUGCUACAUACUCACGUAUCAUAAUUUUCCAGUACAAGCCAUUUCAUGCCAUUGCAAAUCGGAUGGAAGCAACAGCAAGAGAGGCAAAGUGAUAAAAAAAAUAAUAGUGUCCUACUCUUCCAAAUUCAUAAAAGCAUGGUCUAUAUAAGCAUAUAAAUACAUCUAGAUUGAUUGAGUUAAAUAAAAAACAAAGUAACAAUAAGUUGCACUUUCCAUAUGAUGCAAGUAUAGGUGGCUAACAGUAAAAAAAAAAAGGAUACAUUCAACAAAACCUUUAUUAUCUUUUUGUACACAUGUUUGUUGUCCCUUCUUCCUUUUUAUGGACUUCCUGAUAUGAAGAAUUGGAAAGGAAAAUUACCAUUGUUCUGAAUCCGCAAAGAGAAGUUCAGAACCAACAGAUCCAUCAUCCUACAAAUGCAAAUUCAAAUACAAAUGCUGUAUUAGCUUAGAUGGGUGAGAUCACAUACUUAUCAUAGUAAACCUAUUCUUUCUCCUGUCAAGACGUGGCUUCUUCCUUGCUGCUACAGGGCAACAGCAAAUCAUUACGUUCGUUCCCAUCCAUCUGCUGAGUGGCGUCUCCUCAUAUAUCCGGGCCAUCCGUUUGUUUAUUAAUAUGUCCAGUACUAACUUCUUUUAGGCAAGCAUAAUAAAACCUACUAGCACUUGCAAUAUAUCACCAGCUUGAUUCCCAGUAUUAGUUGGUUCAUGCCAUUGCAUAUUGGAUAAAAGCUGCAUAUACAGAAGAAAAUCGAGAUAAAUAGUGUUCAACUCUUCCAGAAUCACAAAAAUAGUCUCCAACUUUUAUGUACAAAAAGGUGUUCAUUCCCAGUAAAAAUUGCUAGUAUAUGUACAGUCUACCAAACACAACUUUAUCCCCGUCAAAACAACUUUGUAUUCAUCUCAUAGCAUAACAAAAAAAGUGCACGCACACAGAGAUUUCAAAAGCACUGGACUGUGUUAGAGAUACAGAGCGCUUAAAGUUCAGACUGAUAGGUUUCAAAACCGUGCACAACUUCACAGAGUACAGACUAAUUCACACAGACUUAAAAGUCCAAAAAAAAAAAGGAAGAAAAGGCAUGUUCCCAUGGUUUCAAUUAGCCCACACUCCCCACAAGACAUGGAUUGGAGUUUUUACAUAAAACAUUAAUCAACAGCGAAAAUGCAAAGAUAAGAUCAAAACCUUAAAUCUAAGUUGGCCGGGCUACCGCCUUUCAUGCUGAUAGCGUGACAAAGAACAUCAAAUUUUUAGUCCCAAAAAACUUACAACUAAAUAAGUGAAGUUGCACGAGAUAUUGCUUAAACUUGCACAAUCUAGAAAUUAGAAUAUUUUUUCUUUUGUACAUCUAAGACUAAUUGAGGACAUACAACUACCACAAACUCUCCACAAACUGAAACAUUUCAAUUAUCUCAUCAUACCAGCAAGGGAUCCAAUCCCACAAACGACCCAUACCUGAGAAUCGGUGAAGAAACAAGCAACCUGAGAAUCACUCCCUCAUCCCUUCCUCCUUCCUCCUCAUCCCUAUCGCCCAACUUGCCCCAAACCCUAGCGGCGAGCGGUCGCGCACCCUCCGCCUCGCCGUGCCUCCGGCAGUCCGGCCACACAUAGAGAAAAAGAGAGAAGUGAGAGGGAAUAAGUUCAUCUUAGGUCUCUCAAUUUGUCGCCGAGUCCGAAAUUUGUCGCUGAGUACAAAACCGAGUACAACACAUCCUUCAACUUAUAAAACCGUGCAAACGAGAUCCCUCGGCAGUAUUGUGCCUGGUUUUGGCUGACGUGGCGCGCUCCUUUGACUAGGUCUUUGUCCCACGGGGCAUGGACGUGGAAAUUUGAUUAAAAAAAUAAAACCCGUGGAACCCAGAUGUCAGUUUCACACACAAAAUAAUAAAAAAAAAUGGUCAGACCCAUGUGGGCUCCACAUGUCAUCCUUACUCCUCUCUCUUCUCUCUAUCUCAUUUCUCUCCCCCCUGCACUGUAGUCUGCAAGGAGAAGGCCGGAGCGAUGGCGCGCAAAGCUGGCGGGGCGGUGGCGCAGAGGUCGCGCUCGGCCGUUGCCCAGCUCUUCCUCAGUCUCCAAAGCCUUGCGAGCCACCUUAGGAUAGUAGUACUACGUUUUCCGCUUGCCCUGUGUUACUGCUAAGCAACGCACAAGGAGCAAAGCAAAGGAUGGAUCAAUGGCCUCGUGCGAAUCUGAUCUAACGGACUCUGACGCGCGUCGUCGAUCUCCUUGUCCUUGCCGUGUACCGCAUCUGCGAGAGGAACUCGUGCAACGAGCGAGGGCUAUGGGACAAGCGUGGGAUAAGCGCCACCACAAUCGCCUGUUGCUCUCCGGCUUGCCGCCGCUCGCGUGUCCUUUCCGCCCGGCUCCCUUUGCUUCCUCUCCCGCCGUCGUCUCCGUCAUCGAAGACGACGGCGACGGCGACGGGUUCGAGGAGGAGGGCGCGCACCUCACCACCGCGGCCCCCGCCCCCGGUUCCACCGUCCUCUGCGCCACCCUCCGACCUCGACGGCGACCUCGCCAUGGGUGGCGGAGGGCGAGCUCCUGGUUCCCCACUUGCUCCCCCCCCCCCCCUUCCCCACCACCGCUGAUGGUGACGGGUUUGAGGAGGAUGCACACCUCCGCUGUGGAGAUCGGUGUCGGCGGCAGAUUUCUGCCGCUUCGGCGUUGGUUUCGCGCACCGCCACUCCCGCCUUCUCCUUGCAGACUGCAGUGCAGUGGGGAGAUAGAGAGAAGAGACAUGUAAGGAUGACAUGUGGGUCCCACGUGGGUCCCACUAUUUUUUGUUAUUUUGUGUGAAACUGGCAUAUGGGUCCCACGUGCAAACUCUCAAAUAUUUGUGACACAUAACAGACAUAAUAUGUCAUGCGACCCAUGUACAAACUCAAAUAUUUGUGUUCCAAUGUUAUUAUAUUCCAAACAGGAUACUAAGUUUGUUAUAUGAUAAAUUGUUCAAAUAUGUUCAGUUUUAGACUCGUUUGUUCCUCUAACAGUUGAAAACAUAAUAGAAUACACAGAUUACAAGCUCUACACGUUAUACGCGUGAGAUGCAAUCGUUUCAAAUCUCAAUGUUUUUUUUUUUUUGAGCAAAGGGCAGAACCCUCCAAUUUUCAUUAAAGAAACGCAGAAGUUCUUACAAAAACAGAGUCUUAGAACCAGAAGGAUAGAACCCCUAGGUGCUCACAAAAGAAACAAAGACAAACGAAAGCCAGCUAGACCUCAGUGCACAGGCCUUUGAUCAAAACAAGCCAUUUCUUGCUUUCCAAGUGGCCCAAAGUACAGCUGCCACACCAACUAGCAUUAGUUGUUUUGUAAUUUGUCACAAGGUUGAAUCCAGGAACUUAACAUAUGUCUCAUGUCUUUAAUCUGGUUCAUACCAAAAGCACAAAUCACAACAGUCCAGGUGAAUCUCACCAGAGGACAGUCAAAAAAUAAAUGUUGAAUUGUUUCUUUCUGUUCACAAAACUGACACAGAUCAUUACCCUUCCUCCAACCCCUUUUUAUCAAAUUAUCUUUUGUUAAAACAUUCUCUUUAAGCAGCAACCACAGAAAAAUCCUCACUUCAAGGGGACUUUAAUUUUCCAAAAAAAAAAUUUGUGUGAACUCCCAAUCAUGGAAACAGUCCCCUGCAACUUUAGAGCUCUAUAAAAGGAUUUAACACUAAACAUUCCAUUUCUUUGCCAGAGUCCAAACUGUCACAUCUCUUUGAUUGUUCAGAGUUAUCUCAUCACAAGAAGACUUAACUUUGUUCCAGUCAGCAAGUGCAUCUCCAAUCACAUUUCUUCUGAAAGUCAUGCAACCCCACCCUUUUUUUUUUAACUUUUGCCAAAGUAAUGAAUUGGUUCUGAGUUACUCUAUACAAAAAAAGGAAAUUGUUCUGCCAAAGGUUUUCCUCCUAACCAGUUAUCUUCCCAAAAAAGGAUGUUAUCUCCAUUUCCUGGUCUCUUGGAACAAAAAUUGAAGAAACUUUUUCUAACCUCCAUCACCCCUUGCCAAAAAUGGGAGGCCCCAGAUUUUGUUUUUGCAGCAGCCAAAAUGUUUUUGGAUAAAUACUUUUGUCUGAUACAUCUGCUGCCAUAAACCUUCAGAAUUUUCAAGGUUCCAGAGCCAUUUCCCCAGCAAAGCAAUGUUCAUGAUUUCUAAGUCCAAAAUGCCCAAACGCCCUGUCUCCCUGGGAGAACAAACCGUAUUCCAAUUAACCAAAUGAUACUUCCUAAUACCCUGAUCAUCCUGCCAUAAGAACCUCCUAUAAAGAUCCGUUCUCUCUAACCCCAAUAGGCACCCUAAAGAAGGAUAACAUGUACAAAGGAGUAUUACUAAGACAAGCAUUAAUUAAACUCACCCUCCCUCCAAUUGACUGAAGAUUUCCUUGCCAGCAACCAACUUUUUUUUUCAAUUGUUUCCUCAGGCUUCUUCCAAUCUUUGUUCAGAAGUAUUUCUUUAUCAAUUGGAAAGCCCAAAUACCUCAUUGGCAGAUCCCCUAAUUUACAGGUAAACAAAUCUCAAUGUUUAUAAGACCAACAUAUUAUUACACUACUUAAAAGGAAGAGAAUGGCUCUUUUACAAAAUGCAAACACCCAGUAACAUGCAUUGCAGUAUUUUAUAUCUCACUGACAAAUGGCCCAAGCUACAAACCAACAGUUUGCCUCUUAUCACUAAUGAUUGGUCCGCUUGUAUCACUAAUGAUUGGUCCAACCGAUGGUGGACCCCUUUUAUGGAGUAUGGAGUUAUGCAACAGUCAAAGAGUCUGCAUCUGUGGAGAGGGCAAAACCGAUGGUUGAGUAAAAGCAUGUAGGAGUAGUACUACUUUGUACUAAAACUAUGAACAGUGCAACAUUAGAGGUACUAGCAGCUGCGUGGCAGGCUUACAGGCUGGUCGCUGGAGUACCUCUCUAGGAAUAUAGGAGUAGAUAUUUAGGGUGGGAUAUUAUUCACGGACUAAACAAAACUAGAAGGCGCGCUCGCUAUUUUUACCUGGUGCAUACUACAUAAAGUAUAUUUGGAUCAAAAGAAAUUACUGUGUAUAUCUUUUAUAAAGAAUAAGUUCAAUUCCCUUAAAAAAUCCUAUAAAAGACGUACAUUUAUAAUAUAUGAUAUAAUAUACGCUUGUUAAAAAAAGGUAAUUACAUUAAUCAAAUAAGAUAAAAUAUAUGCUUCAUUUUUUUAAAACAUGUUUCAUAGAGUGCGAAUUCAUAAAUUAAAAUGUUUUUUAUAUGCACUUUUAAAUGAUUAUUGUUUCUUUUAACUAUACCAUGUAGCACAUCUAUAGUAAUGGUGAUGGUGGUGGUUCUGCCACCACCCUACCGACAUGUGGGAUUAUAGGUCCAUAUGAGGAAAUGGACACAACAUAUAUUUUUAGCCUUAUCUAGUGUUUAAACAAAACAAUGGACAUGAUUUGAAGUUUUGAACCAUAUUUUUUUUUAUAACGUGUCAAUUUGACAUAUUAAGCAAGAAAAAAUAAGCGUGAAAAAUUAUCUUUUAAAAGUCUUAUAUCUAUUGUUUAUGGUUCUAAAACCGAUGAUAGAAAAUGAUCACAAUAAAAAAAAACUUCAAAAUCAACUUUUGAAAUUUAAAUUUUGUUAUGGCUUAUAAUUAACAGGUAGAUGAUCUUAGGUGAAAACUUGAAAAAGUACUUUAUAAUUUCUCAGAAAAUCCGAUGCAGCGCACAUGUCCUUGGCAAGUUUUUUAUCUUUUUUUUACCACUGGUAAAUCCUUGAUUUAUCUCAUCAAAUGUUAAAAGUGCAAGUGGCCCAAUCAGAAGCUGGCAAACCUGCCGGCUUGUGAAUAUUUGACUUGUCCCUGUCACAUUUGAAUGUAUGUUUGGACUGUAAUUUGUAGUAUUAAACAUAUAAUAAUCACAAAACUAAUUACACAGAUGGAGGCUAAUUUUGCAAGAUGAAUCUAUCAAGCCUAAUUAGUCUAUGAUUUGAUAUUAUAGUGCUACACUAAAUGUGUGCUAAUCAUGGAUUAAUUAGAGUUAAUAGAUUCGUCUCGCAAAUUAGCCUCUAUAUGUAUAAUAAGUUUUGUAAAUAGUAGUUUAAUACUCCAAAUUACGGUCAAACACCCGAUGUACUAGGGCCAUGGAUCUGAGUCAAGCUACUGGAGUCUACUAGCUAGCUUUGGAUGAUUGGAUCUACCCACCGGCCUAAUCGGGCACAGCUCUGCCGGCCUGCCUCUUGGGGAAAAAUGGAAAAUAAAAAAAAAUAGAGAGAGAAUGUAACUAUGAAAUUAAGCAGAAGAAAUUGCUAGAUAUCGAUUCCUAGCGUGGGGCGUACUUUCACCAGCGUUAGAUAUGUUGUUCCUGCCCACCCAGCGGUCGGGCUGUCGGCUUGCUUUGCUUGCACUAUAUAAAUAGUGCCCACUGGCUGCCUAGUUACUGCGCACAGUGCACAAAAAGAAAGAAAGAAGAGAAAGACCACACAAGUAGUAGAGGAAGCAUCUCGUUCUCAUAUCCAUGGGUUCGCGUCUCGCUACCUGUGUCCUUGUACUACUUCUCGUCCUUUCUUGCGAUGCACAUACUGCCGCGGCGCCGGCUGGAGUCGCAGGCAACCUGACUGCAGCCCUGGUGCAUCUGCACGAGGAGCUGCAGGCACAAGACCCGCUGGGCUGCGACGACACCUGCCAAGGGUGCCUUGUGAGGGGUGCGCAGCUGUGUUUCGGCGAGUACUUCCUGCACCCCCUCGGCCUCGCCGAGUGCUUCAUCGAGCACAUUGUCGUCGACCGGUGCUUCGGGAACAAGUGACGUGAUUGUCACCACUGCCAUGUGUGUACCGACUUCAGAGUGAGCGUGUGCUUUUUUUUCUUUUCUUUUUUUUUUACAUUUGUUUGUGCGUGGUUUGUUUGCGCGUGUGCCUUUUUUUUUUUGGUUUGUUUGUGCGUGUGCUUUUUUUUUUGGGACAUUUGUUUGUGUGCGGUUUGUUUGCGCGUGUGCUUCUUUUUUUUUUGUGUGUGGUUUGUUUGUGCGUAUGUUUUUUUUUUUGGUGUGAUUAGUUUGUGUGUGUAUGUGGGGCGUUAUAUUGUAAUGAGCGUCUCAUUUGGAAUAAAAAUUCUGUAAAUACAUCUACAUCUCUCUCGUAUCACACAGCAAAAAAAAAUAUAUUACAGAAACGAUUGGUCGUAGGUGAAUAGUAACGAUCUUUUUAAUAUAAUAAUUAUUAACACAUAAAUUAGAUAUAUAGUCUGGAAUUAGAAAAAUGGUCUGGACGCUGACUACAAUAGCAUCCGGGUGUGGACGUCUUGAUAAAAAAAGCGUCUAGAUCUGGACGCUCUUGCAGAUGACGUCCACAGUCUGGUGCGAUCCAACUCCAACCUGAGUGAUCGCCAUCGCCAUCAGUUUGGUGUUGCUACCACGUGGACGGUGGAUCUCCUCGCCGUCAUCGUCCGCACCUCCUCCUACUCGUCGAUUCGAUGAGGUGCGGCGAGCGAAGCCCUCUUGGCAUGGACGAAGGCCACAGCGCCACCCAUCAACUAGAGAACGAGGCUCCCACGUACGCGGCACGCGCGACUGAUUCCUCUUCUCGUUUUACUUUUUUUUAUUCUCCUUUUUUUUUUCCUGUAUUGAUUAUCGUAGCAACCAAUCAGAGGCGAGCAACUGCACCAGAUGGACGUGGUACCUUACAGCGUCCUUGUCUGAGACGCUCUUUUUUACUUAGCGUCCAUCCUAUUCUUGUAAUUCUACUCUAUGAUUUUACUGGAUAUUUAAUUCAUUUGUUAAUAAUUAUUAUACAAAAAAAAUUCGGUGAAUAAUGUAGAGGCAUGUGAAAAAAUUUGUUAAGCAUGCUGCCAGUAGCAGAUGGAAUGUGAAAAAAAUGCUGUCCGAAAAAAAAAAGGAGGAAAUAUUACACUAUACAAAUUAGUAUCGAUCUACGGUACGAUUUAGUAACGGGUGAUUGUUUACCUCUGCCAGCUCAACCAUCGGUGCCCUAGGAAGUAGGAACAUCAUAAUUACAUUAUACUAAGGAUAGAGUUACGUGCAAGGGGUUAUCCACAUACCCAGCAAAACGAACAUUUAGUCAAAAAUCGUUAAUUUUCCAAUUAACUGAAAGCAAAGAUAAAAUAGUAAGUUUCCGAGGUAAAAUUCAACGGCAGCAACAAUAAAGAAAACUGUAAUAAGCUAGCAUUGGUCAGCAGCAGCACAUCCACAAGGACCACAUCACAGCAAGCAUGAAGCAGAGCAAAGCAGUACAGCACAGAGGGACCGAGGAGGAUUAUUGCCUCGAGGCGACCGAGUUGUCCAUGAAGUCUGGGAUAGCAUCCAUGUAGAUUUAAUCUGCCUAGCUUACCAACUAUUUUUUUUUUUAAAGCAGCUUACCAACUAUUUAAUUCAGGCGCCAUUGAUCUGCAGGCAACGGUAGGGUAAGUAAUGCAUUAAGUCCCCCAAGCAAAUAGACAUCGGAAAUCGCUUAUAUGGCUCGAGAUGAGCGCACAACCAUUGUAGCAGGAAUACAGCCAACAAAAAAAAAACAGAUGGGAGGAGAGAGAACUCUAAACAAAAUACCAAAAUGCAAUUAGGAUAGCAACCUUAGGUGGAGAAAACUCUAAACCCUAAACCCUUCGUAGUUCUGAUAUGGGAGCCAAUACGGCUGCCGCCGGUGUGAAGCGCCUCUACCAGCGCCUUGCACCCACACACCAUGCCCGGCGGCGGUGGCCAGGUGAAGACGGGGAGCCAACACGGGCGGUUGGGGAGUCGGGGAGAGGGAGGCGAAGGUACGAGCUGGAGGUGGAGAUGGCGAUGUCAGGGAAGUAGGAGGAGACUACCGCCAUCGAGAUUGGGCAGUAUGAGAGCGAGCGAGUCAAGGGAGGCAAGCAAGGGGAAGGGACUAUAUGGUCAAUUGUAAGGACGUGCAAUGCGGAGCCACAGGCAAUUUCAGGAUUACAGUAAUAGCAAAGAUUAUGCAAAUGAUUAAGAAAGUACAUAACAAAUUAGAAGGAAAUAUACAGUUAAAAAGGUCCAUGUGCUGUUAACUGAAAGAGAUUACCAACAUUUAAAUUGGACAGGCAAAAUUACAUGGUCUCUCUUACAUAGAUGCGUAGCAAAGUUGACAUCCAACACUAUGGCUUUUCAUUGAAAAUUAUGAGGUUGAGUAGCAAAAUUACAUGGUCUCUAAGAAUUGAAAAGUUUCCAGUGACUUUGUUUCACUUAUACAUUCAAUAUUAUGCAAUCAUUUAGGAUUUUUUUUCUAUUUUAUCCAUCAGAUGGCCAUUAUAAAUCUAUGAACAGAUAAACUUAAUUUACCUUGAUCAUCGUGUUAUGAACAAACGGUACCUAAAAAAAUCAGGCUUUUAAUCAUCAAAUCAGUCUAGCAAAUGGAAAAUUUUAUUCACUAUAUGGCCUAAUUUACGUAAGCCAAAAUUGCUUUGCAAAUAUUAGCUUCGACUCUUUCCUCCAUAACAGUAUCGCUACCCACGUUUGAGUGGUGCUCUCGAAAUCAAACUUGCAGUUGCAGGUAUGAAAAAAAAACUUAUUUGGAUUUGUUUAAGUACUCAACACCACACGGUGAAUAGUAAUCCCUCCAUUUCAAAUUGAUCUAUAUAUUUCAUAGAUACACCAAGACCAAGAAAAGCUAACAACUCUCUCGUACUAUAUUUACUCUACUAACAAAAUAUAUUUACUCUAGUAACAAAAUCGAUGCAUGCACCAUCCCCACUAUUUUCUAGCCAAUAGCAAAUCAAGAUAUUAUAUAUGGGUUAUAAAUACUUGUAUGCAUGCAUCAAUGUCUAUUUACUUCAAUGUACAAAUAACGAAUAUUUUUAAUAAAUGAACACAAAUAUGUAGAUCAUUUAGAAAUAACCUAAAAAAAACUAUAUAUAAAUCAAUUUGAAAUAGAGGGAAUAAACAAUGAACAAAAUGAAUGUUACCUAAUGAGUUUACAAUCGAAGGUGGAGACCGCGGAGUGAUGACUGGUGAGGCGGCGAUGUCCAGGGAAGAUGACGCUGGUGGCGAAAGUGGCGUGGGAUGGU
Molecule: long non-coding RNA, 11255 nt
Filed under: Oryza sativa (Asian cultivated rice)
Lineage: Eukaryota; Viridiplantae; Streptophyta; Magnoliopsida; Poales; Poaceae
Description: long non-coding RNA (OSAT_LNC001653)
Source: RNAcentral